GUAACAUAGGUAAGUAUACCGGAAGGUGAGACGAAAA
RNAcentral lists this ribosomal RNA (37 nucleotides) under Epidalea calamita (natterjack toad). RNAcentral describes it as "partial 12S ribosomal RNA". Lineage: Eukaryota; Metazoa; Chordata; Amphibia; Anura; Bufonidae. The record is from RNAcentral.